GCCGAAGUAGCACAAAGGUGGUGUGCCUCCUUGGUAAGGAGGAGGGUGCGGGUUCAAGUCCCGCCUUCGGCU
RNAcentral lists this transfer RNA (72 nucleotides) under Virus Rctr197k. RNAcentral's name for it is "tRNA-Thr". It matches the Rfam family "tRNA". Rfam says of the family: Transfer RNA (tRNA) molecules are approximately 80 nucleotides in length. Their secondary structure includes four short double-helical elements and three loops (D, anti-codon, and T loops). The record is from RNAcentral. Lineage: Duplodnaviria; Heunggongvirae; Uroviricota; Caudoviricetes.